Molecule: long non-coding RNA, 661 nt
Filed under: Mus spicilegus (steppe mouse)
Lineage: Eukaryota; Metazoa; Chordata; Mammalia; Rodentia; Muridae
Description: lncRNA (ENSMSIG00000023463.1)
Source: RNAcentral
UCUUAAAGCAGAUACAUUUAAGCAAUUCUAACACACACAGACUUGGAGAGACCUACAAAUUAAAAGAUAUAUAGCCCUCACUGUCAGUGUCAAGCAAUUAUACGCCACCAAAUGGCUUGUGAUUUGGCAUCUCCUCCUGAUAAAGGCUUACGACAGAUAGGACGAAGCAGAGGUCAGGAAUUCCGCUGAGUACAACCUGAGGAGAUUCUUCAAAUUGCUUGACUUUCAUUCGAGUCCCCCAGGACACCAUCAGAAAACUGGUCCCCCUCGAUUCUGGUUGCAAAGCUUUUCUUCUUGAGUCUUCAGAGAGAUUCUGAGUGAAGAUUUGGGAGGCCGAACCACCGAAUUGCACUCUUAACCCCCGACGUCGGCUCAGCCCUUUCCAGCCUUGAGUAAUUGGUUAUAGUUACUCAUUUGCUGGCCACAAUUAGCAUAGCAAAUUAUCGGAGCAGAGACAAUUUCUUAGCUACCCCAGGUUACUAAAUAAUUUAAAGAGGGGGAAGACAAUGGAUUCCCAUCAAAUAUGCUGUGCUUUCUUUAUGCCAUUAAGAAACACCAUUCUAAGUGCCUGGAAGCCAGCCUGCCUGCUUACACUGUGGAGCCCUGCAGGGUCUCUGCAGUGCAUCUGUGUCUAUGGCUUCUGAGGAGGAUGACUGAUUAG